Molecule: long non-coding RNA, 539 nt
Filed under: Suricata suricatta (meerkat)
Lineage: Eukaryota; Metazoa; Chordata; Mammalia; Carnivora; Herpestidae
Description: lncRNA (ENSSSUG00005003785.1)
Source: RNAcentral
CUGGAUUUCAAGGGAGAAAUACAGAUAUAUAGAUGACGAGUCUUAGGUAUCUACAUGAUAUUUAGAGAAAUGAAACUCUGGUGAGAUCACUAAAGGAAUAAUGGUCAGUAGAGAAAAGAGAAGGUUCAAGGGCCCUUCGUUGGUGCAGCCCUAAAUUUCUGGUAGUGUUUCUCAGCUUUGGCUGCAAGUAGAAUUACCAAGAGACCUUAAAAAGAAAUACUGAUGCCUGGGUCCCACUUCUAAAGGUUCAGUUUUAAUUGUGCUGGUCAAGGCACUCCCUGGGUGUCAUGGAAGUGAGAGUAUAUCACUUUUGCUAUAUUCUGUUCCUUAGGAGCAAGUCUCUAGGUCCAAUGCGUACUCAAGAGAAGGGGAUUGUACAAGGGCAUGAACAGCAGGAGGUGGGAUCAUUGAGGGCCUUCUUGAAAAGCAGUCUACAGAAGUACGUAGCAAUGCUACCCAACUACAAGCCAGAGCACACUGUUGGAAGGGACCGCUGCCAGAGGAGCCUCAAAAGCUCUAUGGGAACGUUUAUUCGGUAG